This 484-nucleotide ribosomal RNA is filed under the name uncultured bacterium. RNAcentral's name for it is "partial 16S ribosomal RNA". It matches the Rfam family "Bacterial small subunit ribosomal RNA", at positions 30 to 507 of the family's 1533-position model. The record is from RNAcentral.
AUUGAACGCUGGCGGCAGGCCUAACACAUGCAAGUCGAGCGGAUGAAGGGAGCUUGCUCCUGGAUUCAGCGGCGGACGGGUGAGUAAUGCCUAGGAAUCUGCCUGGUAGUGGGGGAUAACGUCCGGAAACGGGCGCUAAUACCGCAUACGUCCUGAGGGAGAAAGUGGGGGAUCUUCGGACCUCACGCUAUCAGAUGAGCCUAGGUCGGAUUAGCUAGUUGGUGGGGUAAAGGCCUACCAAGGCGACGAUCCGUAACUGGUCUGAGAGGAUGAUCAGUCACACUGGAACUGAGACACGGUCCAGACUCCUACGGGAGGCAGCAGUGGGGAAUAUUGGACAAUGGGCGAAAGCCUGAUCCAGCCGUGCCGCGUGUAUGAAGAAGGUCUUCGGAUUGUAAAGCACUUUAAGUUGGGAGGAAGGGCAGUAAGUUAAUACCUUGCUGUUUUGACGUUACCAACAGAAUAAGCACCGGCUAACUUCGUG